GGCUCGGUAGCUUAGUUAGUAAGCGCUUGUCUAGCAUACAAGAGUCCUGGGUUCGAAUCCCAGCCGAGCAC
RNAcentral lists this transfer RNA (71 nucleotides) under Aedes aegypti (yellow fever mosquito). It matches the Rfam family "tRNA". Rfam says of the family: Transfer RNA (tRNA) molecules are approximately 80 nucleotides in length. Their secondary structure includes four short double-helical elements and three loops (D, anti-codon, and T loops). The record is from Rfam by way of RNAcentral. Lineage: Eukaryota; Metazoa; Arthropoda; Insecta; Diptera; Culicidae.